GACGAACGCUGGCGGCGCGCCUAACACAUGCAAGUCGAACGAGCGAGAGAGAGCUUGCUUUCUCGAGCGAGUGGCGAACGGGUGAGUAACGCGUGAGGAACCUGCCUCAAAGAGGGGGACAACAGUUGGAAACGACUGCUAAUACCGCAUAAGCCCACGGUGCCGCAUGGCACAGAGGGAAAAGGAGCAAUCCGCUUUGAGAUGGCCUCGCGUCCGAUUAGCUAGUUGGUGAGGUAACGGCCCACCAAGGCGACGAUCGGUAGCCGGACUGAGAGGUUGAACGGCCACAUUGGGACUGAGACACGGCCCAGACUCCUACGGGAGGCAGCAGUGGGGAAUAAUGCACAAUGGGGGAAACCCUGAUGCAGCGACGCCGCGUGGAGGAAGAAGGUCUUCGGAUUGUAAACUCCUGUUGUUGGGGAAGAUAAUGACGGUACCCAACAAGGAAGUGACGGCUAACUACGUGCCAGCAGCCGCGGUAAAACGUAGGUCACAAGCGUUGUCCGGAAUUACUGGGUGUAAAGGGAGCGCAGGCGGGAAGACAAGUUGGAAGUGAAAUCUAUGGGCUCAACCCAUAAACUGCUUUCAAAACUGUUUUUCUUGAGUAGUGCAGAGGUAGGCGGAAUUCCCGGUGUAGCGGUGGAAUGCGUAGAUAUCGGGAGGAACACCAGUGGCGAAGGCGGCCUACUGGGCACCAACUGACGCUGAGGCUCGAAAGUGUGGGUAGCAAACAGGAUUAGAUACCCUGGUAGUCCACACCGUA
RNAcentral lists this ribosomal RNA (763 nucleotides) under uncultured bacterium. RNAcentral's name for it is "bacterial SSU rRNA". It matches the Rfam family "Bacterial small subunit ribosomal RNA", at positions 28 to 804 of the family's 1533-position model. The record is from RNAcentral.